RNAcentral lists this ribosomal RNA (983 nucleotides) under Arthrobacter sp. RNAcentral describes it as "bacterial SSU rRNA". It matches the Rfam family "Bacterial small subunit ribosomal RNA", at positions 434 to 1424 of the family's 1533-position model. Lineage: Bacteria; Bacillati; Actinomycetota; Actinomycetes; Micrococcales; Micrococcaceae. The record is from RNAcentral.
UUUCAGUAGGGAAGAAGCGUAAGUGACGGUACCUGCAGAAGAAGCGCCGGCUAACUACGUGCCAGCAGCCGCGGUAAUACGUAGGGCGCAAGCGUUAUCCGGAAUUAUUGGGCGUAAAGAGCUCGUAGGCGGUUUGUCGCGUCUGCCGUGAAAGUCCGGGGCUCAACUCCGGAUCUGCGGUGGGUACGGGCAGACUAGAGUGAUGUAGGGGAGACUGGAAUUCCUGGUGUAGCGGUGAAAUGCGCAGAUAUCAGGAGGAACACCGAUGGCGAAGGCAGGUCUCUGGGCAUUAACUGACGCUGAGGAGCGAAAGCAUGGGGAGCGAACAGGAUUAGAUACCCUGGUAGUCCAUGCCGUAAACGUUGGGCACUAGGUGUGGGGGACAUUCCACGUUUUCCGCGCCGUAGCUAACGCAUUAAGUGCCCCGCCUGGGGAGUACGGCCGCAAGGCUAAAACUCAAAGGAAUUGACGGGGGCCCGCACAAGCGGCGGAGCAUGCGGAUUAAUUCGAUGCAACGCGAAGAACCUUACCAAGGCUUGACAUGAACCGGAAACGCCUGGAAACAGGUGCCCCACUUGUGGUCGGUUUACAGGUGGUGCAUGGUUGUCGUCAGCUCGUGUCGUGAGAUGUUGGGUUAAGUCCCGCAACGAGCGCAACCCUCGUUCUAUGUUGCCAGCACGUGAUGGUGGGGACUCAUAGGAGACUGCCGGGGUCAACUCGGAGGAAGGUGGGGACGACGUCAAAUCAUCAUGCCCCUUAUGUCUUGGGCUUCACGCAUGCUACAAUGGCCGGUACAAAGGGUUGCGAUACUGUGAGGUGGAGCUAAUCCCAAAAAGCCGGUCUCAGUUCGGAUUGGGGUCUGCAACUCGACCCCAUGAAGUCGGAGUCUCUAGAGUUUGAUCAUGGCUCAGAAUGCCACGGUGAAUACGUUCCCGGGCCUUGUACACACCGCCCGUCACACCAUGGGAGUGGGUUGCAAAAGA